This 253-nucleotide ribosomal RNA is filed under the name uncultured bacterium. RNAcentral describes it as "partial 16S ribosomal RNA". It matches the Rfam family "Bacterial small subunit ribosomal RNA", at positions 524 to 776 of the family's 1533-position model. The record is from RNAcentral.
UACGUAGGUGGCAAGCGUUAUCCGGAUUUAUUGGGCGUAAAGAGAACGCAGGCGGUCUUUUAAGUCUGAUGUGAAAGCCUUCGGCUUAACCGGAGUAGUGCAUUGGAAACUGGGAGACUUGAGUGCAGAAGAGGAGAGUGGAACUCCAUGUGUAGCGGUGAAAUGCGUAGAUAUAUGGAAGAACACCAGUGGCGAAAGCGGCUCUCUGGUCUGUAACUGACGCUGAGGUUCGAAAGCGUGGGUAGCAGACAGG